CAGCCGCCACGGUAAGACAGAGGAUGCAAGCGUUAUCCGGAAUGAUUGGGCGUAAAGCGCGCGCAGGUGGUUUAAUAAGUCUGAUGUGAAAGCCCACGGCUCAACCGUGGAGGGUCAUUGGAAACUGUUAAACUUGAGUGCAGGAGAGAAAAGUGGAAUUCCUAGUGUAGCGGUGGAAUGCGUAGAGAUUAGGAGGAACACCAGUGGCGAAGGCGGCUUUUUGGCCUGUAACUGACACUGAGGCGCGAAAGCGUGGGGAGCAAACAGGAUUAGAUACCCCGGUAGUCCCUGUCUCUUAUAA
Molecule: ribosomal RNA, 301 nt
Filed under: uncultured bacterium
Lineage: Bacteria
Description: partial 16S ribosomal RNA
Rfam family: Bacterial small subunit ribosomal RNA
Source: RNAcentral